RNAcentral lists this ribosomal RNA (429 nucleotides) under Chloroflexota bacterium. RNAcentral's name for it is "Chloroflexi bacterium partial 16S ribosomal RNA". It matches the Rfam family "Bacterial small subunit ribosomal RNA", at positions 355 to 776 of the family's 1533-position model. Lineage: Bacteria; Bacillati; Chloroflexota. The record is from RNAcentral.
UGGGGAAUAUUGCACAAUGGGCGCAAGCCUGAUGCAGCCAUGCCGCGUGUGUGAAGAAGGCCUUCGGGUUGUAAAGCACUUUCAGCGGGGAGGAAGGCGAUAAGGUUAAUAACCUCAUCGAUUGACGUUACCCGCAGAAGAAGCACCGGCUAACUCCGUGCCAGCAGCCGCGGUAAUACGGAGGGUGCAAGCGUUAAUCGGAAUUACUGGGCGUAAAGCGCACGCAGGCGGUCUGUCAAGUCGGAUGUGAAAUCCCCGGGCUCAACCUGGGAAAUGCAUUCGAAACUGGCAGGCUAGGGUCUUGGAGAGGGGGGUAGAAUUCCAGGUGUAGCGGUGAAAUGCGUAGAGAUCUGGAGGAAUACCGGUGGCGAAGGCGGCCCCCUGGACAAAGACUGACGCUCAGGUGCGAAAGGGUGGGGAGCAAACAGG